UUUGAUCCUGGCUCAGGAUGAACGCUAGCUACAGGCUUAACACAUGCAAGUCGAGGGGCAGCAUGGUCUUAGCUUGCUAAGACUGAUGGCGACCGGCGCACGGGUGAGUAACACGUAUCCAACCUGCCGUCUACUCUUGGACAGCCUUCUGAAAGGAAGAUUAAUACAAGAUGGCAUCAUGAGUCCGCAUGUUCACAUGAUUAAAGGUAUUCCGGUAGACGAUGGGGAUGCGUUCCAUUAGAUAGUAGGCGGGGUAACGGCCCACCUAGUCUUCGAUGGAUAGGGGUUCUGAGAGGAAGGUCCCCCACAUUGGAACUGAGACACGGUCCAAACUCCUACGGGAGGCAGCAGUGAGGAAUAUUGGUCAAUGGGCGAGAGCCUGAACCAGCCAAGUAGCGUGAAGGAUGACUGCCCUAUGGGUUGUAAACUUCUUUUAUAAAGGAAUAAAGUCGGGUAUGCAUACCCGUUUGCAUGUACUUUAUGAAUAAGGAUCGGCUAACUCCGUGCCAGCAGCCGCGGUAAUACGGAGGAUCCGAGCGUUAUCCGGAUUUAUUGGGUUUAAAGGGAGCGUAGAUGGAUGUUUAAGUCAGUUGUGAAAGUUUGCGGCUCAACCGUAAAAUUGCAGUUGAUACUGGAUAUCUUGAGUGCAGUUGAGGCAGGCGGAAUUCGUGGUGUAGCGGUGAAAUGCUUAGAUAUCACGAAGAACUCCGAUUGCGAAGGCAGCCUGCUAAGCUGCAACUGACAUUGAGGCUCGAAAGUGUGGGUAUCAAACAGGAUUAGAUACCCUGGUAGUCCACACGGUAAACGAUGAAUACUCGCUGUUUGCGAUAUACUGCAAGCGGCCAAGCGAAAGCGUUAAGUAUUCCACCUGGGGAGUACGCCGGCAACGGUGAAACUCAAAGGAAUUGACGGGGGCCCGCACAAGCGGAGGAACAUGUGGUUUAAUUCGAUGAUACGCGAGGAACCUUACCCGGGCUUAAAUUGCAGAUGAAUUACGGUGAAAGCCGUAAGCCGCAAGGCAUCUGUGAAGGUGCUGCAUGGUUGUCGUCAGCUCGUGCCGUGAGGUGUCGGCUUAAGUGCCAUAACGAGCGCAACCCUUGUUGUCAGUUACUAACAGGUUCCGCUGAGGACUCUGACAAGACUGCCAUCGUAAGAUGUGAGGAAGGUGGGGAUGACGUCAAAUCAGCACGGCCCUUACGUCCGGGGCUACACACGUGUUACAAUGGGGGGUACAGAGGGCCGCUACCACGCGAGUGGAUGCCAAUCCCCAAAACCUCUCUCAGUUCGGACUGGAGUCUGCAACCCGACUCCACGAAGCUGGAUUCGCUAGUAAUCGCGCAUCAGCCACGGCGCGGUGAAUACGUUCCCGGGCCUUGUACACACCGCCCGUCAAGCCAUGGGAGCCGGGGGUACCUGAAGUGCGUAACCGCGAGGAGCGCCCUAGGGUAAAACUGGUGACUGGGGCUAAGUCGUAACAAGGUAACCA
Molecule: ribosomal RNA, 1486 nt
Filed under: uncultured Bacteroides sp.
Lineage: Bacteria; Pseudomonadati; Bacteroidota; Bacteroidia; Bacteroidales; Bacteroidaceae
Description: bacterial SSU rRNA
Rfam family: Bacterial small subunit ribosomal RNA
Source: RNAcentral